CUACAUACUUAACAAGGAUCUUAAGGAUUAAAAUUGUUUGUUCCCACACAAGUUUCAUAAGGAUGAAGAGCCUCUGAUCAGUUUAGGCUCUAGUGGAAAGAAUACUACCAACAAGGAUAUAGAAAAGCAUGCACCUUUUUCAAUUAUGUUUAAAUGCUUAUCUCUUCCUUACCUCUCCAAAAUGUUUUAAAAAUUGUCUGGGUAUUGCAAUAGGCAUUGACUGCUGAACAUUAUUGAUUAGUUUUAAGAGAUCACUAUAUAGCAUAAUAUCAGUUACUUUAAAUAAAAAUAAAGCAUAUAAAUAUAUCCAGUCACACCAGAGUGCAAGGUUUAAUUCCAUUAACCACCACUGUGAGCAUAUUGUGACAAAAGUCUAUAUCACCACAUAGCUACAGGACUCGUUUUCAUCAGCACUGGGGACUGGAAGGAGAAGGGGAGAGAGUGUCUGGGAAUUAUAAUGCCUCAUCUGCUCAGGUCAUUCAGUGCCUUGCAAGUUUAAUCAGGCUGUCUUCAUCCUCCAUUACACUCAUUAUGUCCUGUUAGGUUAGUGCUCAAUGUUGAUCUGUAUCUUGGUCAAGACAAUUGUUGCUGAUUAACUGUAAUUACCAGUAAUGGUCCCAACCUGCUUUCAAGCAGACUGCUGCUGUCAUCUUGUCCAGGCCCUUGCUCUGUGAUGAGCAGUCCAAAUCUCCUAACUGUUUGCUCACUUGCUGUUUGAAUCAACAAGUUGCUUCUUGUGUGGGCUCAUCCCCCCACGCCUAUACCUGCCGUCUGUAAACAUCCCAACUCUGCUUGAGCUAUGCAAAAAUGUGUAGUUUUUGGAAGGAAAUGGAGACUGCUGGCCAGGAAAUCACAUCCCAGAAAGAUCACGUUCUUGUAACAAUUUAUCAUGGAAAAAGUCAUGUCUUUCGAUUGAGACGUAAAGCUGUGGUCUUGCAAGUUUGUGGUCAAUGAAGAUGCUUGGGGAUUUUUUGCUAUCUCUUGCAAGAAAAGCAUUAUUAGCCCCUGAA
Vidua chalybeata is the source of this 1010-nucleotide long non-coding RNA. RefSeq lists it as uncharacterized. NCBI's taxonomy places the organism in Eukaryota, Metazoa, Chordata, Aves, Passeriformes, Viduidae. The transcript has 2 exons. The record is from RefSeq and is a predicted model, not a curated record.